RNAcentral lists this ribosomal RNA (360 nucleotides) under uncultured Rhodococcus sp. Its description in RNAcentral is "bacterial SSU rRNA". It matches the Rfam family "Bacterial small subunit ribosomal RNA", at positions 1024 to 1382 of the family's 1533-position model. The record is from RNAcentral. Lineage: Bacteria; Bacillati; Actinomycetota; Actinomycetes; Mycobacteriales; Nocardiaceae.
UGGUCGGUGUACAGGUGGUGCAUGGCUGUCGUCAGCUCGUGUCGUGAGAUGUUGGGUUAAGUCCCGCAACGAGCGCAACCCUUGUCUUAUGUUGCCAGCACGUGAUGGUGGGGACUCGUAAGAGACUGCCGGGGUCAACUCGGAGGAAGGUGGGGACGACGUCAAGUCAUCAUGCCCCUUAUGUCCAGGGCUUCACACAUGCUACAAUGGCCAGUACAGAGGGCUGCGAGACCGUGAGGUGGAGCGAAUCCCUUAAAGCUGGUCUCAGUUCGGAUCGGGGUCUGCAACUCGACCCCGUGAAGUCGGAGUCGCUAGUAAUCGCAGAUCAGCAACGCUGCGGUGAAUACGUUCCCGGGCCUU